RNAcentral lists this ribosomal RNA (517 nucleotides) under uncultured bacterium. Its description in RNAcentral is "bacterial SSU rRNA". It matches the Rfam family "Bacterial small subunit ribosomal RNA", at positions 8 to 518 of the family's 1533-position model. The record is from RNAcentral.
AGAGUUGAUCUGGCUCAGAACGAACGCUGGCGGCGCGUUUAAGCAUGCAAGUCGAGCGGCAAGGGCCUUCGGGCCCUAGAGCGGCGGACGGGUGAGUAACACGUGGACAAUCUGCCCCCCGGCCCGGGAUAGCCCAGGGGAACCUGGAUUAAUACCGGAUGAGACGGGACCCGCGAUGGCGGGACCCGGGAAAGGCGCUGCGGCGCCGCCGGGGGAUGAGUCUGCGUCCCAUUAGCUAGACGGCGGGGUAACGGCCCACCGUGGCGACGAUGGGUAGCCGGCCUGAGAGGGUGGACGGCCACAUUGGAACUGAGACACGGUCCAGACUCCUACGGGAGGCAGCAGCUAAGAAUCUUCCGCAAUGGGCGAAAGCCUGACGGAAGCGACGCCGCGUGAACGAAGAAGGCCGUGAGGUUGUAAAGUUCUUUUCGGGAGGGGGAACAACCGUGGCAGGGAAUGGCCGCGGGAUGACGUGAAUCCCGGAAUAAGCCCCGGCUAACUACGUGCCAGCCGCCGC